UACGGAAGGCAGCAGUGGGGAAUAUUGCACAAUGGGCGAAAGCCUGAUGCAGCUAUGCCGCGUGUAUGAAGAAGGCCUUAGGGUUGUAAAGUACUUUCAUCGGGGAGGAAAAAAACAAAACUAAUAAUUUUAUUUCUUGACGUUACCCGAAAAAGAAGCACCGGCUAACUCCGUGCCAGCAGCCGCGGUAAUACGGAGGGUGCUAGCGUUAAUCAGAAUUACUGGGCGUAAAGAGCACGUAGGUGGUUUUUUUAAAGUCAGAUGUGAAAUCCCUGGGCUUAACCUAGGAACUGCAUUUUGAAACUGAAAUACUAGAGUAUCGUAGAGGGAGGUAGAAUUCUAGGUGUAGCGGUGAAAUGCGUAGAUAUCUGGAGAAAUACCUGUGGCGAAAGCGGCCUCCUAAACGAAUACUGACACUGAGGUGCGAAAGCUGGGGAGCAAACAGGGAUUAGAUACC
This 457-nucleotide ribosomal RNA is filed under the name uncultured bacterium. Its description in RNAcentral is "bacterial SSU rRNA". It matches the Rfam family "Bacterial small subunit ribosomal RNA", at positions 340 to 786 of the family's 1533-position model. The record is from RNAcentral.